This is a long non-coding RNA of Mauremys mutica (yellowpond turtle), 810 nucleotides long. RefSeq lists it as uncharacterized. The record is from RefSeq and is a predicted model, not a curated record. The transcript has 5 exons. Lineage: Eukaryota; Metazoa; Chordata; Testudines; Geoemydidae.
AACUGCUCCCAACAGUGCAUGGCUGGGACCUCAUCACCAAAAGGAUCUGGAAAAUCUCUACAGCCCUUGUGUUAAAUGAGCAAAGGAAAUGCUGUGCGAGUCCUCGUACAUUGGGAUUUCAAAGAAUCCAUGGCCUAGGACAGUGUGAUGUGUAUCACAGCAACUUGGAGCAAUAGCAGGGAUAGAACUUAGAUCCUUCCUCUCCAAAACCCCAGGUGAAAGAGGAACCUGCUUUUAACUGCUAGCAUUAGAGGACCCGUGACACACAGCUGAGAAAUUCUGAUCCAGUAAAGGUGCAUGCAGUGAUCCUGCUCCUGACGCAGCUCUUCUGCCAUGCGGGAAGCCUAAGAGGAGGCACAGUACAUUCUCAUCAAGCACAACAGACUUUCAAUGCCAGCAGCGGAGCAAACAGGACAACGACCCUGUAUCAACAGCGUGGUAUUUGUUUUCACCUGGACAUUGAUUUCGUUGUGCCUCUCAGUGAUCUCUAGCAGCUCCUGCUCCAGGAGUUUGCGAGAGCGCUCGCUGCCCUCCAGCCCAGUGCGCAUUUCUUCCAGCUCCGUCUGUGUCAGGCUGAGGCGGCGUUCCUGGAGGUUGUACUGUUCCCGGAGUUCCUCGUGCUGGCGAGCAUCUUCAUCCAUCUGAAUCUGAAGAUCCUGAAGGCAAAGGAGGGUUCUCUGAGCUUGGACAAAGAAAACAGACUGAUCCGUCUCCAUCUUCUUCUUGAGCCUGAGCGCUUCAGCCCGCCCCUUUGCCUCCAUCUCCAGACUUGACUGCAGAGACUCAAUUGCACGCUGAUGAUUUUUCCUG